UGGGCUGGCCGCAUGGUCUUUGGUCCACCGACGGGCGGGGAUUUACCCC
RNAcentral lists this non-coding RNA (49 nucleotides) under unclassified sequences. RNAcentral's name for it is "DUF3800-XI RNA". It matches the Rfam family "DUF3800-XI RNA". Rfam says of the family: Actinobacteria, Firmicutes, Proteobacteria, Spirochaetes (1 example). Nearby to DUF3800 The record is from Rfam by way of RNAcentral.